GGUACCCCCUGCCCCCACUCCCACCGGAAAGCCCCCAGUCCCAUUUGGGACCCGGAGCAGGUCUGGCGCAGCCCCACCCUGUCCCGGUCACCCUGGCUCUGGGUCUGGCAAGACCUGACUCUCUGCCCCUCCCCUGCAGCCCAGUAGGGCCCUUUGCCCUCUUCUUCCUGCCAAGUCAGGGGGCCCUGGCUGCUCCCCUGCCCCCUGCCCAGGUCCUCACAAGUCUGGGCAGACCCUGAGGCCUCCCCCCACCCCAAGCUGGGAUCAGGACCUUGGACAGAAAAGAGAUAGUCCCGUAGAGAGCCUCUUUGGGGCUCUUCCUCCCACUGCCCAGUCAUGGCAAUUGAGAGACCAAACAGAGUGGCUGUGGAGUCCCAGCUGGGUGGCCUUAGUCAAGCUACCUCCCCUCUCUGGGCCUCAGUUUCCUCAUCUGUGAGGCAGUUAUCCCCAGCUUCUUUCCAGCAUUCAUCUUGACAUUCUCAGACCAUUUGCAUGUGAAACCCCAGCACAGGGUCAGACUGUUAGAAUUCCAGUUUAGGAGCCUUUGGGGAGGGCGGUCUCUGCAGCCCCUAGACCCCUACCCCUCCCACUCCUGCUGGGUAAGAGGUUGGUUGGCCCAGGCCUCCCCAGGUCACCAUCUUUACAAGUUAAUGAUCACAGGCCUUAUCAGAGCCUUUUACCGUUUAUAAAUUUAUAAAACAAAAGAGAAAUAAUAAAGCUCGUGGGUAAUUAGUAACCAGGUCAGCUUUGCUGAGGAGAGGGGAGGCUGCGGGCUCAGACCCACCCAGUUCUCCAGGAGGGGAGUUGGGGAGCCAGCCAGUGGAUGGGGGUGCACAAUGGGGAGACCUCACUGGCACACACCACUGGGGGGACCUGAGGCUGUGUAGGAAAGGGGAACAGGUCCUGCCCUGAGGUUCCAUCUCCCUCAGAACUGCCAUAAACCACACCCUCCAAAGGAACGAAGCUCCAACAUUCAAACUGCGAACUACCUUGAGCUAGCAGUUUCGCUCGUUGUCCGGCAGGUGUCGCUGUGGACCGCUCAAAAAAUCCUCCGCAGCCCGAAUCCUCGCGCAGUGGGGACGGUAGAUAAUUCAGUACGUGGUGGCUGCGAGCUUUAUUGCUAUUCUCUCCUGGGCGAGCAGCGAUUUGCAAAGGCAGAGUUCAGCCACGGGAGCCUUCACCUGCCUCCCCGGAGCAGGACCAGAAGCAGCAGGAAGCCCCAGACUGAGGGUUAGAAACACAGGUAUGUCGGGAUAAACCACAGUGAGCCAGAUGGAAAGAUGGUCUCCAAAGAGAUAUCCGUAGUUACCUUGAAAUAGUGGGAUUUCAGGAACUCACAGCACUGAAAAACUUAAGGAUUCCAAGGCCCCGCCCUCAUUGUUCGGAAUCAGACUGCAGAAAUUGACAGAGAAUCUCUUCUUUGAACAAGACCUUGGGCAGUUUUCUCAGGAUCAAGCAAAUUGCAGAAAGGAUCUCACACAGCUCCUUGGAUGUGUUUGAUGUGGCAUCCAUGAGUUAAGAAGCAAAAGCCAGAGCCCAGGGAUACUUCCUGUAAUACAAGGACCAGGAAUCAAAGAGAACAGAUAAAUAUGUUAGCCUGGACUUAAUGGGUCAGUCCCAGAGAGAGGCUGUGCUGCUGCCCACAGACUGAACUUGCCAGCUCUGGUAUGUAUGGCCCGCGCACGUGCCUGGCAAGUCUCAGAAGCAUUUGCUGUCCUCACCGGGUGGUUGUGAUCCUUCAGUGAGAUACACUGCUGUUGUGUCUCUGUGGCAAGCAGACAUCGAUGGAAUGUUAGUUUUCAGCCUAAUAUAAAAAUACCGGGUGUUUUGGGGCUGCCUGGGUGGCUCAGUGGGUUAAAGCCUCUGCCUUCAGCUCAGGUCGUGAUCCCAGGGUGCUGGGAUCGAGUCCCACAUCGGGCUCUCUGCUCGGCGGGGAGCUUGCUCCC
Long non-coding RNA from Lutra lutra (Eurasian river otter), 1946 nucleotides. RefSeq lists it as uncharacterized. NCBI's taxonomy places the organism in Eukaryota, Metazoa, Chordata, Mammalia, Carnivora, Mustelidae. The transcript is spliced from 5 exons. The record is from RefSeq and is a predicted model, not a curated record.